RNAcentral lists this ribosomal RNA (486 nucleotides) under Triticum aestivum (bread wheat). Its description in RNAcentral is "partial small subunit ribosomal RNA". The record is from RNAcentral. Lineage: Eukaryota; Viridiplantae; Streptophyta; Magnoliopsida; Poales; Poaceae.
AUGAAGGGGGCCAAAUCCAAGGGCGCCGCCAAGGCCGACACCAAGUUGGCGGUGAAGAGCAAGGGGGCGGAGAAGCCGGCGGCCAAGGGGAAGAAGGGCAAGGCCGGCAAGGACCCCAACAAGCCCAAGAGGGCGCCCUCCGCCUUCUUCGUCUUCAUGGGCGAGUUCCGCGAGGAGUUCAAGCAGAAGAACCCCAAGAACAAGUCCGUCGCCGCCGUCGGCAAAGCGGCCGGUGAGAGGUGGAAGAGCUUGAGCGAAUCGGAGAAGGCCCCCUACGUGGCCAAGGCCAACAAGCUCAAGGGCGAGUACAACAAGGCCAUCGCCGCCUACAACAAGGGCGAGAGUGCUGCUGCUGCCGCCCCAAAGAAGGCGGCCGCCAAGGAGGUGGAGGAGGAAGAUGAGGAGGAAUCCGACAAGUCCAAGUCGGAGAUCAAUGACGACGAUGACGAUGAGGGUAGCGAUGAGGACGAGGACGACGACGAGUGA